RNAcentral lists this ribosomal RNA (490 nucleotides) under uncultured bacterium. Its description in RNAcentral is "partial 16S ribosomal RNA". It matches the Rfam family "Bacterial small subunit ribosomal RNA", at positions 28 to 507 of the family's 1533-position model. The record is from RNAcentral.
GAUGAACGCUAGCGAUAGGCUUAACACAUGCAAGUCGAGGGGCAGCAUGGUCUUAGCUUGCUAAGGCUGAUGGCGACCGGCGCACGGGUGCGUAACGCGUAUGCAACUUGCCUCACAGAGGGGGAUAACCCGUCGAAAGACGGACUAAUACCGCGUACACUCUAUGUUGGGCAUCCAAUGUAGAGGAAAUGAAAUUCGCUGUGAGAUAGGCAUGCGUCCCAUUAGCUAGUUGGUAAGGUAACGGCUCACCAAGGCGACGAUGGGUAGGGGAACUGAGAGGUUGAACCCCCACACUGGUACUGAGACACGGACCAGACUCCUACGGGAGGCAGCAGUGAGGAAUAUUGGUCAAUGGGCGAGAGCCUGAACCAGCCAAGUCGCGUGAAGGAUGACUGUCUUAUGGAUUGUAAACUUCUUUUAUACGGGAAUAACAAGAGUCACGUGUGGCUCCCUGCAUGUACCGGAUGAAUAAGCAUCGGCUAACUCCGUG